RNAcentral lists this microRNA precursor (92 nucleotides) under Ailuropoda melanoleuca (giant panda). RNAcentral's name for it is "mir-450". The stretch from base 8 to 86 matches the Rfam family "mir-450 microRNA precursor family". The record is from RNAcentral. Lineage: Eukaryota; Metazoa; Chordata; Mammalia; Carnivora; Ursidae.
GUAAGGUACAAAAUUAUUUUUGCAAUAUGUUCCUGAAUAUGUAAUAUAAGUGUAUUGGGAACAUUUUGCAUCCAUAGUUUUGUAUCAAUAUU